GAUGAACGCUGGCGGCGUGCCUAAUACAUGCAAGUCGAGCGAACGGACGAGAAGCUUGCUUCUCUGAUGUUAGCGGCGGACGGGUGAGUAACACGUGGAUAAUCUACCUAUAAGACUGGGAUAACUUCGGGAAACCGGAGCUAAUACCGGAUAAUAUUUUGCACCGCAUGGUUCAAAAGUGAAAGACGGUCUUGCUGUCACUUAUAGAUGGAUCCGCGCUGCAUUAGCUAGUUGGUAAGGUAACGGCUUACCAAGGCAACGAUGCAUAGCCGACCUGAGAGGGUGAUAGCCCACACUGGAGCUGAGACACGGUCAAGACUCCUACGGGAGGCAGCAGUAGGGAAUCUUCCGCAAUAGGCGAAAGCCUGACGGAGCAACGCCGCGUGAGUGAUGAAGGUCUUCGGAUCGUAAAACUCUGUUAUUAGGGAAGAACAUAUGUGUAAGUAACUGUGCACAUCUUGACGGUACCUAAUCAGAAAGCCACGGCUAACUACGUG
RNAcentral lists this ribosomal RNA (497 nucleotides) under uncultured bacterium. Its description in RNAcentral is "partial 16S ribosomal RNA". It matches the Rfam family "Bacterial small subunit ribosomal RNA", at positions 28 to 507 of the family's 1533-position model. The record is from RNAcentral.